AUGCGUCUUCUGCUCCGGCCCUCACGCUGCCCAGGACCUCAGGAUCUGGGUCGGCCGCCCUCUAGCCCCUGGGUUCAAGGGCAAAGCUUGGGAAGCAAUGCCAGGAAUGGGCACAGCGCAGGAUGCUCCGUCCCGAAUCGGGGACAGGGGGAGGGGAGGAUGCGCACGGCAACUGCUGGGUCCCUGACAAGUAAACAGCUUGCUCUGAACAGGCGCGUCCACGUCCAGAGCCCGGCUGAGGGCCCUGCUCAUCCCAUCAAGGGCGGCAGCGGGACACCCUGGAUCCCCGCCCCCCCGGAGGCACAAAAGGGAUGCAUGGAGAGCAGGAGAGCAGGAGAGCACGAACCAGCCCACACCCGAGCAUCACGACGCGAGCGCGACCCCCUGACUCGGCCUCCCCAGCCGGGUCCGGUCCGCCCCGACACGCGCGCGCCUCCCCCAGCCCCCACGUCCCUGGACCCCGACCGCCCCGGGCGGACAAAGCCCUGCGCCGGGCGGGGCGGGGCGUGCGCAGGGGGGCACUGGGACCCCGCAGACGCCCGCACAGGUGGGCUCCGUACCGGGUCGGUGCCGGGGGCGGGGCCCGAGCUCCCUGGAGACGGUUGCCCAGGGGACGCGGCGGGCGGGUCCCGGAGCUACGCGAGCCUCCCGGCGGCGGCGCCGAGCCCGCGGGGGCCUGAGGGCAGGCCCGCGGCGCGGAGCCGGCGAGCCGGGCAGCGGCGGAGGGGCGCGGCCCGGGGCGGGGCCCGGACAGCGGGCCGGCGCGGGCGGGGCCGGGGGCGGGGCCGGGGCGGGCCGCCGAGCGGGGGCGGGGCCAGGGCCCGCCGCGCCGCGGGCACCGUCGGCAAAUUCCCGCGGCCCCAGCCAGGCGGAGUGUCUGAGCGCCGAGGACCGCGGGCUGCGCGGCGGCCGCAGCUGCAAAGGCUUCCCGACCCCCGCUGCUCAGCCCCGGGCAGGUGGAGCGUGCGCCCGGGGCCGGGAGCCCCCCAGCCGCCGCGGGACCCCGGCAGCGUGCGCACGCUGGCCCUGGGCCCCCUCCCGCCUCGUGACUGGAGAAUACAAAGUAGUGUUUGCAAAGGGAGCGAGGGCUGGGGGUCCCCCAAACCGCUCUCCCCUCCCGGGUUCCCGGGGAGUCUCCAGAACCGCCAGGGCACUGGACCCCCGACACUGGUCCGGAGCCGGGGUCACCCUCGGAACUGGCCAUCCGGGCUCUGCGCUCCCAUCCAGUGUGCGGGCCGUUCCCCAGCCGCUGGGCCUUCCUUUCCGUCGGGGUUCCCCGCACGGGUCGGAUUCAGAAGGUAA
This 1302-nucleotide long non-coding RNA is filed under the name Canis lupus familiaris (dog). RNAcentral describes it as "lncRNA (ENSCAFG00040013863.1)". The record is from RNAcentral. Lineage: Eukaryota; Metazoa; Chordata; Mammalia; Carnivora; Canidae.